RNAcentral lists this ribosomal RNA (122 nucleotides) under Periophthalmus magnuspinnatus. The record is from RNAcentral. Lineage: Eukaryota; Metazoa; Chordata; Actinopteri; Gobiiformes; Gobiidae.
UGCUGAAUCCACAGUGUCCUCAUACCAGCUUGAUCCGACCUUGUUUGAUCUCUGAAGCCAAGUAGGGUUGGGCCUGGUUAGUACUUGGAUGGGAAACCGCUGAGAAUACGCAAGUGGAGUAA